Oncorhynchus tshawytscha (Chinook salmon) is the source of this 2116-nucleotide long non-coding RNA. The record is from Ensembl. NCBI's taxonomy places the organism in Eukaryota, Metazoa, Chordata, Actinopteri, Salmoniformes, Salmonidae.
GUGUCUGUUAGUCAUAUGUUUAUAGCAUAUCAUUUUCCAGGCAUUGUUUAAGAAAUGUGGGGCACGUCAAAAAUAUGGAUCAUCAUCCAAAAAAAGAGGGCAAACAGAGAGGGAGAGGAAGAGAAAGGGAGUGUGGAAGGAACCAAAUUGCAAGCAGGAAAAUGUUACAUCUGGAGCCUCCCAAAGCAAAGCCAUGUAUGGCAGUUUGACUUCAUUAUUACUCUGUUAUAUAUAGGCAGGCUCUCGGCUCUCACUGAGAGAAAGAGAGAGAAAGAGAAACAGAGAAAGGGGUCAGAGGCUAGCUAGUACAGCCAGUCAGCCAGGAGGGAGGUAUUGUUCCAGGCUGCAGAGAGGACUAUUACAUCAAGCUGAAGAUCACAUCUUUUGGACUGGCUGGAGGAAUGACCACCAAGGAGAAUGUGUGGAGAAUACUAACAAAACUCCUGACAAAUGCCCUGGCCAUGAAGAGGAACUGGAGAGGGGCCAAUGGGAUGCAGGCAUUCCAACCGCUCACCCUGUAAGGCGUAGUUCUCAGUGCUAUCUGGCGAAACCACCAUAGAACCAAAGCUUCUGAUGGUGAAAUUGAGAAAUACAUCAAGAGGUGGAUGCAGCUGGCCUCUGACUGAGACGAAGGGAGAAAGAAGAGAACGCGACUGAGGGGAGAAGAAGACCAGAGCGGAGUAGAGGAGUGAUGUCACUACACCCUUCACUAUGCCCUACCCACUAAGCACAAUAACAAGGGAAUGCUGUUACCAUAACAAAACCAAUUUCGCUAAGAGGAAAUCUUGGUCCGUUUUAUUUUUACUAUGCAAUGGGUGCUAAAAUAAAUGCUUUUUAUCUUUUACAUGUUUUUUGUUGUUGAAGUAUGAUGUUUUUACACAGUUGCAACUUUAUUUGGUCCUUAUAAGCCUAUGCUGUCUUUGCCUACGAUGCAAUUGUCACCACUGAAAACCUUCAUGCAGAAUUUGGCUAGAUAUGCACUACAUAUACAAAAGUAUGUGGACAGCCAUUAAAAUUAGUAGAUCCCUGCCCCGCUCCCUGCCCCAAUGCAUAGUGCCAACUGUAAAGUUUGGUAGAGGAGGAAUAAUGGUCUGGGGCUGUUGUUCAUGGUCCGGGCUAGGCCGCUUAGUUCCAGUAAAGGGAAAUCAUAAUGUACAGCAUAGAAUUACAUUCUAGACAAUUAUGUGCUCCAACUUUGUGGCAACAGUUUGGGGAAGGGCCUUUCUUGUUUCAACAUGACAAUGCUCCUGUGCACAAAUCAAGGUCCAUAUAGAAAUGGUUUGCUGAGAUCGCUGCGGAAGAACUUGAAUGGCCUGCACAGAGCCAUGACCUCAACCCCAUCACUGUGGAAGAACUUGAUUGGCCUGCAUAGAGCCCUGACCUCAACUCCCACUAACACUCUUGUGGCUGAAUGGAAGCAAGUCCACACAGCAAUAUUGCAACUUCUAGUGGAAAGCCUUCCCAGAAGAGUGGAGGCAGUUAUGGCAGCAAAGGGGGGACCAACUCCAUAUUAUUGCCCAUGAUUUUGGAAUGAGAUGUUCGAUGAGCAGGUGUCCACAUUCUUUUGGUCAUGUAGUGUAUUUUCUUAUAUUCACUGACUGGACAUAUGACAUGUUGUGGAAUAGGACCGUCAUUGUGAGAUUUUUUUCAUAAGGUACUUUACUACAACCAUCAAAGGUUGCUUGUUCAAACCCUGACAUCCGUCUUAUAACUACCUAAGCAGUUUUCAAAAAGAAAACCCUGAGACAGUCAUCACUUAGAUGUAUGAGGCCAUGCACAUUAUUCACCAAAUUCUCUGUACCAUAAAACUGGCCAAAAUGCUCUACAAAAGACACUGUUACAAUUAUGUUGAAAAACUGCAGCUUCCAUGGCCCCACAGCAAAGUUGAUAUAGCAGUGAACGUUCAUAAUUUUUUAAACCACCACCAGAGAGAGAUUGAUGUCAAUGGUAUUGGUGUUAAGUUUUUAGUUUUUAGUUGAAGUCACAGGCCAUGCUGGAGACUGUAGUUUAUAUUUUGGGCUCUACUCCCUACUCCCUAUGGGAUUUUUAAAAUGAAAUGUGAUAUCUUUCCUGUUAAAAUAAAAAUAAUAAAAUAUCAUUCUGAGCAAUGAGUAAA